Molecule: long non-coding RNA, 849 nt
Organism: Orcinus orca (killer whale)
Lineage: Eukaryota; Metazoa; Chordata; Mammalia; Artiodactyla; Delphinidae
Exons: 3
Source: RefSeq, a predicted model, not a curated record
GCUGAAGAAGAGCAAGAUUUGCUUGACGGCAAAAUUGCAACCAGGCACUGCUUACAUGAGAUCCAGAGGCGGGCGCAGACCACUACCACUGCCGCCACUACCACCAAGGGUCCUGUGAACAAGUGCAGGAGGUGGGUCAAAAAGGACCUUGCGGGGCUUCCCUGGUGGUGCAGUGGUUAAGAAUCCGCCUGCCAAUGCAGGGGACACAGGUUCGAGCCCUGACCGGGAUGAUCCCACAUGCCACGGAGCAACUAAGUCCGUGAGCCACAACUACUGAGCCUGUGUGCCACAACUACUGAAGCCCUUGUGCCUAGAUCCCGUUCUCCACAACAAGGGAAGCCACCACAUUGAGAAGCCCGCACACCGCAACUAAGAGUAGCCCGCCCUCUCUGCAACUAGAGAAAGCCCACGCGCAGCAACGAAGACCCAACACAGCCAAAAACAAAUAAAUAAAAUAAAUUUAUUUUUUAAAAAAAGGAUCUUGCUGUGAUUUAAGUCAUAGAGUGUUCUGCCUAUAUUUUCCUCUAAGAGUUUGAUAGUGUCUGGCCUUACAUUUAGGUCUUUAAUCCAUUUUGAGCUUAUUUUUGUGUAUGGUGUUAGGGAGUGUUCUAAUCUCAUACUUUUACAUGUACUUGCCCAGUUUUCCCAGCACCACUUACUGAAGAGGCUGUCCAUUCUCCACUGUACAUUCCUGCCUCAUUUUUGAAAGAUAAGGUGACCAUAUGUGCAUGGGUUUAUCUCUGGACUUCCUAUCCUGUUCCAUUGAUCUAUAUUUCUGUUUUUGUGCCAGUACCAUACUGUCUUGAUUACUGUAGCUUUGUAGUAUAGUCUGAAGUCAGGGAGCCUGAU